Molecule: ribosomal RNA, 425 nt
Filed under: Burkholderia sp.
Lineage: Bacteria; Pseudomonadati; Pseudomonadota; Betaproteobacteria; Burkholderiales; Burkholderiaceae
Description: bacterial SSU rRNA
Rfam family: Bacterial small subunit ribosomal RNA
Source: RNAcentral
AGAUUGAACGCUGGCGGCAUGCCUUACACAUGCAAGUCGGACGGCAGCGCGGGCUUCGGCCUGGCGGCGAGUGGCGAACGGGUGAGUAAUACAUCGGAACGUAUCCUGGAGUGGGGGAUAGCCCGGCGAAAGCCGGAUUAAUACCGCAUACGCUCUGAGGAGGAAAGCGGGGGACCUUCGGGCCUCGCGCUCAAGGGGCGGCCGAUGGCGGAUUAGGUAGUUGGUGGGGUAAAGGCCUACCAAGCCGACGAUCCGUAGCUGGUCUGAGAGGACGACCAGCCACACUGGGACUGAGACACGGCCCAGACUCCUACGGGAGGCAGCAGUGGGGAAUUUUGGACAAUGGGGGCAACCCUGAUCCAGCAAUGCCGCGUGUGUGAAGAAGGCCUUCGGGUUGUAAAGCACUUUUGUCCGGAAAGAAAUCA